GAAUUGCGAUAAGUAAUGUGAAUUGCAGAAUUCCGUGAAUCAUCAAAUCUUUGAACGCACAUUGCACCUUGAGGUAUUCCUCAAGGUAUGCCUGUUCGAGAAUCAGUAAAAUCAUCAAAGCUAGUAUUGCGAAAUACUAGUUUUGGAGUUGGGAUUUGUUGGACGUAUGUCAGACAUUCCUUAAUAACAAUUGUUGCCUUGCACUCUACUUGUUGGUGUAAUAUGCAUGACCAUUGAGCUUCAGCUCUUCUGAUUGCACUUGAGCAUUAACACGGCAGUUUGUUAGCGAACAAAUAAAAUUACACGAAGCCUUUCGGGCUUUAAGACUUGAUCUCGAAUCAGACAAGACUACCCGCUGAACUUAA
Molecule: unclassified non-coding RNA, 365 nt
Filed under: uncultured fungus
Lineage: Eukaryota; Fungi
Description: sequence contains ITS1
Rfam family: 5.8S ribosomal RNA (bases 1-105)
Source: RNAcentral